This 270-nucleotide ribosomal RNA is filed under the name uncultured archaeon. Its description in RNAcentral is "partial 16S ribosomal RNA". It matches the Rfam family "Archaeal small subunit ribosomal RNA", at positions 477 to 747 of the family's 1478-position model. The record is from RNAcentral.
CAGCCCCUCGAGUGGUGGGGAUGAUUAUUUGGCCUAAAGCGUCCGUAGCCGGCCGAGCAAGUCUUCCGUUAAAUCCAGCGUCUCAAGCGUUGGACCGCGGGAGAUACUACACGGCUAGAGAGUGGGAGAGGUCAGCGGUAUUCUGGGGGUAGGGGCGGAAUCCUUUGAUCCCCGGAGGACCACCAGUGGCGAAGGCUGCUGACUAGAACACGUCUGACGGUCAGGGACGAAAGCUGGGGUAGCGAACCGGAUUAGAUACCCGAGUAGUCC